UCCCUGGUGGCUCAGCAGCAAAGAAUCUGCCUACAACGCAGAAGACUCAGGUUCGACCCCUGGGCUGGGAA
Molecule: transfer RNA, 71 nt
Filed under: Bos taurus (domestic cattle)
Lineage: Eukaryota; Metazoa; Chordata; Mammalia; Artiodactyla; Bovidae
Also listed under: 5 other names
Rfam family: tRNA
About the family: Transfer RNA (tRNA) molecules are approximately 80 nucleotides in length. Their secondary structure includes four short double-helical elements and three loops (D, anti-codon, and T loops).
Source: Rfam by way of RNAcentral